GGAGCGUUCUGUAAGCCUGCGAAGGUGUACCGCGAGGUAUGCUGGAGGUAUCAGAAGUGAGAAUGCUGGCAUGAGUAGCGACAAAGAGUGUGAGAAACACUCUCGCCGAAAGUCCAAGGGUUCCUGCGCAAGGCUAAUCCGCGCAGGGUGAGCCGGCCCCUAAGGCGAGGCCGAAAGGCGUAGUCGAUGGGAACUAGGUUAAUAUUCCUAGGCCUGGUGGAUGUGACGAAUGGUGGCAGCAGUGUGGGCUUAACGGAUUGUCCAUGCUGUGAAACUGUUCCAGGAAAUAACACCACCGUAUAGACCGUACCCCAAACCGACACAGGUGGACAGGUAGAGCAUACCAAGGCGCUUGAGAGAACUCUGUUGAAGGAACUCGGCAAAUUACUCCCGUAAGUUCGCGAGAAGGGAGCCUGGCAUUAGGCAACUGGUGUCCAGGGGCACAGACCAGGGGGUGGCGACUGUUUAUUAAAAACACAGGGCUCUGCGAAGUCG
RNAcentral lists this ribosomal RNA (495 nucleotides) under Alexandrium margalefii. RNAcentral describes it as "partial Bacterial large subunit ribosomal RNA". It matches the Rfam family "Bacterial large subunit ribosomal RNA", at positions 1233 to 1833 of the family's 2925-position model. The record is from RNAcentral. Lineage: Eukaryota; Dinophyceae; Gonyaulacales; Pyrocystaceae.